Cinara cedri is the source of this 525-nucleotide non-coding RNA. The record is from the annotation of a GenBank genome assembly. NCBI's taxonomy places the organism in Eukaryota, Metazoa, Arthropoda, Insecta, Hemiptera, Aphididae.
UCGUUACAAUCAUUAUAAAAAUAAAAAACAAAAAACAUUAAUUGUGUUAAGAAUUUAUGAUUUUCAAUUUUUUUAUUCAUUCACGUGAAAUUAGUUCUAAGUAAGUUAUUUAAUAUACUACAAACAUUUAUUAGGUACUUAUUAAAAUAUGAAUGUUUCAAAUUUUUUUUUAGCUGUUGUCAUAGACAAUGUCGAUUGGAUUGUCUAUCAGCCUUCAUGAACAUCCCCAAAUGACGAACCCUGCGGUAACAUAUUCAGUAUUAUAUAAACAAUUAAAUUUUUCUUACAUUAAUUCAGUGUAAAAUUAUUGCAGUUUGAUAAUAAUAAACAAUGUCUCUUCAUAAUGAACGAUUAAAAAUACAUACAGAACUGUGUGUAUAGUUGGCAGAGGUCAAUGCAGCGGUGGUGGUUCCAUUCAUCAUUGGCGAACUUGGGGCCUGAGAUCCAUCCGACAACAAUGAUCUGUUUAUUUCUGUUUUUAUUAUUACCAUUAUAGGUAAUAGCUGCACCAAAAAUAUAUAUGUU